CACACCGCCCGUCACGCCAUGGGAGUCAGUUGCUCCAGAAGUGCCUGCACUAACCCGCAAGGGAGGUAGGGUACCAAGGAGUGGCUGGUAACUGGGGUG
RNAcentral lists this ribosomal RNA (99 nucleotides) under uncultured bacterium. RNAcentral's name for it is "partial 16S ribosomal RNA". It matches the Rfam family "Bacterial small subunit ribosomal RNA", at positions 1386 to 1482 of the family's 1533-position model. The record is from RNAcentral.